Molecule: long non-coding RNA, 2475 nt
Organism: Ctenopharyngodon idella (grass carp)
Lineage: Eukaryota; Metazoa; Chordata; Actinopteri; Cypriniformes; Xenocyprididae
Exons: 3
Source: RefSeq, a predicted model, not a curated record
GGUUAAUGCAAAUUCAUCAUACGAGGAAAUAAUUCAGUCAUUGACGGUUUUAUGACUGAACGGUUCGUGAGGUAUGAAUAACAUUAAUAAUGGCGAUAACACUCAAGAGGGCUUUCGUUUUUACCUUACAGUAUAUUUCAUUUUACAGUUGGUCAAACUGUGACGGACGUUGAAUUUUCUUGAAGAACCACCUAGACACGAGCUGAUGUCAGUGAAAGUCUAGCUGACAGAGAAAGCAAAAACAGUGAACAUUGAUGAAUGUGGAAUCAUGGCAUUAUACCAGUAAGACAAUUAUAGGUGCGUUGUGGUGAUGAACUUUACCUUAUAUUCUUAAAAAAAGAAAUAGGAUGUUGUACAGCUCAUUUAAGUUUAAACUAACAAAUCAAUAUAUAUCGAUGUUGAUGUAUUUAUCUCUGAAAUGAAGUGCUGUUUGUUCCUUAGCCUCCUGCAGGAUCAGUUCUGUGUGUUUAAAGACCAGGGGCCCGUUUCAAAAAGGAGGUUCAACCAACUCUGAGUUAAAACUUGAACUCUGAGUUGACUUGCCCUGAGAUGGGAAAGUUUUUGGUUUCAGAACAGCUGAAUUGAGUAGGCUGACUCUGAGUUAAGCGCAUGUACCACAGCUAUGAAAACCCAUGAUUAAUGGAGCUCCGAAAUUACGAUUCACCAGUAACAACAGUACCCGAGAAAAAGAUGUCUGCGUACUUCCAAGUCAAUAUGCAAGUUUAAUUCUUAAUCACUGUUAUAAUAUUAGAAGUGAAAACUGGCAGAACAGUAAGUUAUUGAACUAAUAUUCAUUUUCAUGGUAUUCCACAGGGAAAAAAAGAAUGUGGCGGGAGAUAAAAAUGGAGUAUAAAAACAAUUCAAUCAGGUAGCCUAAAGCUUUAAGCGUGAUGAGACAUGCACAAGCGAGUGAUGCAAGUAUGAAAUUUCCUGUGAAAAGCAUCCCGCUCUGUAAAAAAUAUAAACACUUAUAACAGGCUUACCAUAGUGAAUCAGGGUAAGACAAAAACAUGUUUUAAAAGAAGGAUUCAUGGUGUAUUGACAUUUAAAUUUUGUUAAUUUUAAACAAGAAAGUUACAUAGUGCAUCUUUAAGAAGCCCAUUGUUUGGAUUCCCUCUCAUUGUUAGGCACAUGAACAUGUACAAAUAAUCCAAAUGUGACCUAUUUGAGUUGCUGUUUGCAAGGUGAGUGACUAAUCACACUGAGUAAAGAAUAUGCCACCUUCAGGGAUGAUGCAACCACAUAACCAGGUUUCACAAUGAACACUUUUAUUUAUAGGAAUAUUCUGGGUUAAGUAAAAGUUAGGCUUUGUCAAGAGCAUCUGUGCCAUGAUGCCGUAUACCACAGAAAACCAUGUCAACUAGCGCCUUGGCGCUUUGACAGUUAUGCACUUACAAGGAAUGUCUAUGGUGCAAGCAUACAGCUGAUGCUCUCAAUAGAGCUAAACUUGUAUUUAACCUGGAAAAUUUUAGAAAACAUUUUAAUUAUUUGAUAAGUUUCAAAGUAAACCUGAAUGAAUGAUUGCAUUUUCUCAGCUUCUACCAGCAACCUACAUAUCUGAAUCUAAUUUCCUCCUCUUAAUUCCCUGAUGGCUAUGAAAUAUUUUCUGACAGAUAUGGCAGAAAUUUCCCCCACUUCUCUCUCUAGAUAUCUGAGCUGUGCUUUUACUGGAACGCCAGUUCUUGCGUUUAGGGUAGAGUCUAAUCUGGGCCUGGCUGUGAGCCAUUUCAUUCCCCUCUGACACGGACCUGUAUGAGUGUGUGUGUGGUAGGGAGUGGUGUAUGCAUACAGGACUCGCCCAUACCUGAGUGAGUGAUAGUGAAGUGUAAUAGAUUCUCUUUGUGAAGAACAGAGCUGCUAGAGAGCUGAACACUAGACAGAACUAUGAAUGAACCUAUGAAUACAGUGAGUGCAAAAUGCCAUUCAUUUUCUAAAGAGAGAAAUUGAUUUUAAACAAUGUAUAUACCUUAAAACAAACUACAUGAAAAUAAAACAUUACACCUUUUCCAAAAUAACUUUAAUCUUUUUUUUUUUUUUUUUUUUUUAAUGCGUGUGUAUCAAAUGAAUGAGAGAGGUAUUUUAAAUCCAUUGCCACUGAAAAUGUUGGUCACUGAUACGCUCUAUAGAAUGAUAAUGAAUGUACAGUCAUGUUUGGUGACUUCCCGUCUGUGUUUGUGCACUGAAGCUUUCUGGGCGAGUAGUAGGAGUGUAAACUUCAUUAGUUUUGUCCCUUCUUUGUUUCUGCUGAGUUUGCAGUGUUUCUAACAGGUGGCAGUGGAUCUCAUAUCGGUCUGUUAUUUUUCAAUUAAAAUCUGACGUGUGAAUCACACUAACAAAAAACAAACAUCUCUUCUCAUUACCUCCUACAUCAGCUUCUCUCUUUUUAACUCAUUCUGUCUAGCUCUCUUCUGUCUUUUUGUCUUAUUUGAGUAUAUCAACUUAUUUCUUUCUCUGAGACUUCCUCCCACUCUUUCA